This 440-nucleotide ribosomal RNA is filed under the name uncultured bacterium. RNAcentral's name for it is "partial 16S ribosomal RNA". It matches the Rfam family "Bacterial small subunit ribosomal RNA", at positions 338 to 795 of the family's 1533-position model. The record is from RNAcentral.
CCUACGGGAGGCAGCAGUAGGGAAUAUUGCUCAAUGGGGGAAACCCUGAAGCAGCAACGCCGCGUGGAGGAUGAAGGUUUUCGGAUUGUAAACUCCUUUUGUUAGAGAAGAUAAUGACGGUAUCUAACGAAUAAGCACCGGCUAACUCCGUGCCAGCAGCCGCGGUAAUACGGAGGGUGCAAGCGUUACUCGGAAUCACUGGGCGUAAAGAGCGCGUCGGCGGGAUAGCAAGUCAGCUGUGAAAUCCUAUGGCUUAACCAUAGAACUGCAUUUGAAACUGUUAUUCUAGAGUGUGGGAGAGGUAGGUGGUAUUCUUGGUGUAGGGGUAAAAUCCGUCGAGAUCAAGAGGAAUACUCAUUGCGAAGGCGACCUGCUAGAACAUAACUGACGCUGAUGCGCGACAGCGUGGGGAGCAAACAGGAUUAGAUACCCUAGUAGUC